Pelobates cultripes (western spadefoot toad) is the source of this 258-nucleotide non-coding RNA. The record is from the annotation of a GenBank genome assembly. NCBI's taxonomy places the organism in Eukaryota, Metazoa, Chordata, Amphibia, Anura, Pelobatidae.
CUGAAAGAAGUAAUGCUGGCGUUUUAUAUACAAGUUUACUAUACAAAAAGGGUAAGCACAUAAGAGCGGAUUGAACUGUAGAUAUUGACUCAAUAUUAAACCUGAAAACGAAACCUAAAACCUUUCCCCCGUAUAGCAAGACAUAUUUAUUGAUACCAUCAGGAGAAAAUAAACCACAGGAAGAUGUUGAAGACAAUUUAAAAGUCAUUUGUUCAAGGAAGGUUGCAGCCAAGAUUUAGUUUAUUUCUUUGUUUCCAG